The submitters of this non-coding RNA (59 nucleotides) gave its source as unclassified sequences. The record is from Rfam.
AGCUGAUGACAAGGGCAAUAGCCCUUGUAAAGCUGGCAGGCAGACAGUUCAAACCCUGU